Long non-coding RNA from Etheostoma spectabile (orangethroat darter), 747 nucleotides. RefSeq lists it as uncharacterized. The transcript is spliced from 2 exons. The record is from RefSeq and is a predicted model, not a curated record. NCBI's taxonomy places the organism in Eukaryota, Metazoa, Chordata, Actinopteri, Perciformes, Percidae.
CCCAAAUGAACAAACAGAGGAAGGAACUAAAUCCAGUGUUAGGAAAGUUCACUUUCUACAUGAACUAGUUCAAAGUUCAGUUCACAAAUUUUAAAAUGAACUAGUUCAGGUCAUGGUUCAUACUUCAACAUUUUUAAACUAAGUUCACAGUUCCAAAAAUGAACUAGUUCCUAGUUCUUUUUUUCCAUAUGUUGCUGUGAGCUAUUAUUUUUUUCAAAAUUAUUGCCACAGCCCAUAUAGAACCCCAGACAGCAGAUAUUUGAUCAGUUUUAACACUGAAACUAUGCGUCAGAUUUCACCUGCUAGCCAGGUGCUUCAGUUCGGCGUGCCGUUUCAAGUUUGCUGUGGAUGUGGCUGAAGUAUGGAUUUUCUUUUUGAAAGCCGGCGGGCAAAGUUUGCACAGAAAUGUACAAUUUUUUCCCAUGCUCGCCGACAAAACCGUCAUAAAACUCAUUUAAAUAAUCAUACAACGCCUCCUUGUUGCUUUGUCGCCUCCAUGCUGCUUUUUGUUUCGAUGACACAUGCGGCAGUGCGACACUGGUGGCUGGCGUUGCCAGAUUGGGUGUUUUUUGCGCUACAUAUUAAGGUGUGUUUUAGCCGGGGGUUUGCCUGUAAGGCUCGGUAGAAGUCCGGCACCCUAUUGAACUAAGUUAAACGGAGAGAGCGUGCCGUUCACAGACACCAGAAUGAACGCGUUCACAGUAACGUUCAUCAGGCAGUAACACAGUAUGUUCAGUUCACGUUCGC